CUUACACACACACACCCACGUGACUGCUUUGUACUUUGAUUCAAAGGUCUAAAAAAUGACUCAGGCCACGCCCUCACGGGUUGUUACAGCAACAGAUUUGCUAUAAUCGUAAUGAAGUGCAGGAGAGAUGACGAACUCGCAGAGGAGAGAGCAGGACCCACUCGGCGAGAGAAACCACGGAGAACAGGACGAAUUGUCGACAACUCAUGAAGAGAGAGAGAAUGCAGCUCCCGUCAGGGGAAUCGUCCUCCCCCGGGGAGGCGGUGCCUGGUGGCCGGAGAGAGAGCGGUCCUGGACGCCAACGGGUACUUUAAGAAGGCACAGAGGAGAGAUAUUAAAGAUAAAUAAACUCCAGCUUGUCAAACGGCUAAAUGUUAUCGAGCAAACCUGGGCCAAGACUGCCGAGCACUUCACUCUCGUCCUUACAACAAAGGAUUCAGAGGAUUUAUCGCACAUCAUCGAGUUGACCGACCAAUGGAAAGAGAACCUAACCACCUUCAUGGAGAACCUCAGAAAGACUGAAAGCAGUCAACGCGAGACCAUCCAAUCUGUCCGAGCUCAUGUUGUCAAGUGGCAGAAGUUCUGUGAAGACCAGAUCAGGAGCCCUGAUAUGAAAACCGAUAGAUCUUCAGAGGAGGAACUGUCUUAUGACCUGAAACAAUGGUCAACGGUGUUAAAGCCACAAUAUGGAAUAUUUGGACCGCUAGAUGGCGCACUUUCAAAACAACAACAAAAGGCGAAGCUAAAUUACGUUAUGUAGGAGAGUGGAAUUAUGGGACAUGUCGUUUUCACCAUCCAGAGGCGUAUGAAGAUCACCCAUCAUGUUCACGGACAAGUUUCUACAACUGGAAACUGAGGGUUGUGCGGAGCGCCGGAUAUUAAGUCACUGAUAUGCAACAACUACAAGGGAGACAAGGGACGGGCCAUUAUUUUAAAUGGGAAUUUCUCUGGAUUUGCACAUUCUUGGGAACAUUUGGGAUUGUGAGACACCCGGCUUCAGAUGGAGGGCCACCUAAAGGUCAAGAGGCCAUGGGCGAGCUGUCUAAAACCAUCACUGAGCUUCACAAGCAGCUGGGAAUCCGCAUCAACGGAGGAAGUGGGAUCCAUGCAACACUAAUGUCACUUAGUGAUAAUAUGGAGUUCUGGUCCAGAAGUCUAAAAUCACGGAGUGGACCUGAACUGCAUCCUUCAGGAGAUUGGGUGAAGAUGGAGGAAGCUCUCGGUAGCUUGAGAAAUCUGUUAGUUCAGUGCCGACAAAGAUCAAACCACAAGUCUGUUCUCAGGUAAUAAGAUUGAUUACGAUCAUUUUUCCAGACAGAUGACUUUGUUGUGUCUCCUCAGACUGAGAAUGCCCAGGAAGCCUUCACAGCUUUAGAAACAGUGCGAUCUCUUCAGCAGAAAAAUGUAGAGGUGGAAGUUCGUGCUGUCACUGACCUCCAGGUGGCUCUCGACUAGAUCCAAGAUCCGGAGAAACAAUUACAGGCUCGGCCCAACGUGGAGAACAAGUGUAGGUGUGAAACACCGACUAAAAUAAAUGAUCCCCAGCACCCCGGCUGUGUCAUCCGAACCCGAAAGUCAGAAAGGCGAAUCUAGCCCCGAACAUGCCAAAGGCACUAAAAGACACUAAUCUUAAUACCAGACCUGAAUGGGUGUAAAAUAAAGUAUUUGACCUGUAUUCAAAUGUAGCGCACAUUUUGUUCUUUUAUUGCGUUUUUACAAGAGGUGAGAACAAAACAGAUAUAUUAUUUACAUUCCAUAUAUCAUUAAACAAACAAGAAAUAAACAUACAUGGACUGUUUGGUUUUAAGAGGGUUGUCAUCGUUUCUAAAUUCAUUGAUUUAGCUGUUUAUAAGCACAUCAAAGCAGAAUCUUUUUGGUCAUCAUCAGAGUUGUUGUCUUGACAUACAGUAUCUUGACAUUCAUGUUGUAUCUACAUCAUGAUCGAGUCUUUAGCGCUCUCUUCCGAGUCGUCCGCCGUGGUCAGGCUUUGACUGGCCGUUCUGGUUAAACUGGUGAUGUCUAUAGAUUGGCUCAGGAUAUCAGGAGGUAUGUUGAGGACCACAGCCAGCUGCUCAGAAGACUGUGAAGAUGCUGCAGAAUUCGAAGAUGCACGACCAGCGGAGACCUGGAAAGAGACUCGACGCAAGACUUCAGUGCAUCACAAGCCGUCCUGCAACACAAUGUGACAAAGUGGUUGAAGAGCAGGGCUUUUAACUAAUAGGUUGAAGGUUUGAACUCAACAUUUGGCCUUUGACCUGGAUCUUUAGAAGGGGGAGUAGCCUAUCUCUGUGAAGGUUCAUUUGAAGAUGGAGGAGUCUGCGUGUAAGGCAUUACAGGGGCUAACAUCCCACCCACACAUGUUUUGUGAGGGAUGCUGAAUGCAACAGUGUUAUUUUAUUAUAACACAAAUUUGAAACAAACCUUUGUGGAGUUUGCAACUCUUUAAAUAAUGGUCUGCUGUCUAUAUUGUUUUUUGUAUAAGAAUAAUUUUGGGAGAACACUUUUAAAUAUUUACAUAUUUGACAAGUCAAUACUUUGAUUGUUGAGAUAAAUGAAAAUAAAAUGUAGAUGAUGUCAAAGUUGCAGUAUUCAUCUAUUUUUAUUCAUGUAUUUUAUUCAUUUAGAUUAUAGUGUUUUAGUGAUGUUUUCGUAGACGUUUUAAUAAUGCUUGUCUGUUGUCUUAAAAAAAAUUGUACCAAGAACUAAAAAUGUUCAACUUGAUUGUUUAAAACUGUUAUUGCAUAACAAUAAAACAAACCUUUACAUUUUUCAGAUGUAAGUAACGUUAUUAGCUGUAGCCUAACCCCUGCUUGAUUUGUGGUUAUCAUGGUUACCAUUAACUACAGCAGUCGUGUUUGUUUUUUUUAUAAAGGAAAUAGUUUAAAUGAACAAAUUACAGACAUAAACUAUUAGUUAAGCGAUCUGAUGGGGUCACAUGACAGUAUUUUUAUUUUUGAGGGAACUGUCCCUUUAAAUAUAGCUUGACGGUUAUCUGUGUUUUUUCAUCAGCUGCGAUUGUGACGUAAGACGCUGAAAGCUUCAUAACUCGCGCUCGUUUGCAGAAGUUUCAUUUGCAGUUUGCUUCGCUCGCUGACUGAAGUCUUCGCAAUGUAUAGUGGCAAAUUUCUUGUACCCGAUCUUGAAGAAACUUUAAGGCUUAUUAAGAAGGAAAGGAGAAGUAGACAUCCCGUUAGAAAAGCGUGGCGGCGUGUCUUCGGCGAAAGAAAGUGGAAACGCAAGGUCUCUGCCUGUGAUGAAGAUUAUAGCGAAAAUGUAGUGUGGGAACACCAUUCUCAUCAGGGUGUAGGUGAAAAUAUCUACUUCAUUGGGCCCCUGCAAAACCCAGAGGUAGCUUGGGAAUCCUCCGAAGAUGACUGGUUCCUCCAAGCACACCCAAGCAUGGAAAGCCUGUACAACAAGGCGAUUUCAACAGAUGUGUUUGUAACAGCACACCAAAGCCUUGAAAGCCUGUACAAGGAGGAGCUGUCUACAGAUGAGGUGUUUGUAACAGCACACCAAAGCCUUGAAAGCCUGUACAAGGAGG
Molecule: RNA transcript, 3544 nt
Organism: Triplophysa rosa
Lineage: Eukaryota; Metazoa; Chordata; Actinopteri; Cypriniformes; Nemacheilidae
Gene name: amine sulfotransferase-like
Exons: 13
Source: RefSeq, a predicted model, not a curated record